This 253-nucleotide ribosomal RNA is filed under the name uncultured bacterium. RNAcentral describes it as "partial 16S ribosomal RNA". It matches the Rfam family "Bacterial small subunit ribosomal RNA", at positions 524 to 776 of the family's 1533-position model. The record is from RNAcentral.
UACAGAGGUCCCAAGCGUUUGUUCGGAUUCAUUGGGCGUAAAGGGUGCGUAGGCGGCGCGGUAAGUCGGGUGUGAAAUCUCGGAGCUUAACUCCGAAACUGCAUUCGAUACUGCCGUGCUUGAGGACUGGAGAGGAGACUGGAAUUUACGGUGUAGCGGUGAAAUGCGUAGAUAUCGUAAGGAAGACCAGUGGCGAAGGCGGGUCUCUGGACAGUUCCUGACGCUGAGCACGAAGGCCAGGGGAGCAAACGGG